This 484-nucleotide ribosomal RNA is filed under the name uncultured soil bacterium. RNAcentral describes it as "bacterial SSU rRNA". It matches the Rfam family "Bacterial small subunit ribosomal RNA", at positions 26 to 507 of the family's 1533-position model. The record is from RNAcentral.
AGAUUGAACGCUGGCGGCAGGCCUAACACAUGCAAGUCGAGCGGCAGCACGGGUACUUGUACCUGGUGGCGAGCGGCGGACGGGUGAGUAAUGCCUAGGAAUCUGCCUGGUAGUGGGGGAUAACGCUCGGAAACGGACGCUAAUACCGCAUACGUCCUACGGGAGAAAGCAGGGGACCUUCGGGCCUUGCGCUAUCAGAUGAGCCUAGGUCGGAUUAGCUAGUUGGUGAGGUAAUGGCUCACCAAGGCGACGAUCCGUAACUGGUCUGAGAGGAUGAUCAGUCACACUGGAACUGAGACACGGUCCAGACUCCUACGGGAGGCAGCAGUGGGGAAUAUUGGACAAUGGGCGAAAGCCUGAUCCAGCCAUGCCGCGUGUGUGAAGAAGGUCUUCGGAUUGUAAAGCACUUUAAGUUGGAGAAGGCAGUUACCUAAUACGUAUCUGUUUUGACGUUACGACAGAAUAAGCACCGGCUAACUCUGUG